Molecule: ribosomal RNA, 460 nt
Filed under: uncultured bacterium
Lineage: Bacteria
Description: partial 16S ribosomal RNA
Rfam family: Bacterial small subunit ribosomal RNA
Source: RNAcentral
CCUACGGGUGGCAGCAGUGAGGACUAUUGGUCAAUGGACGAGAGUCUGAACCAGCCAAGUAGCGUGAAGGAUGACUGCCCUAUGGGUUGUAAACUUCUUUUAUAUGGGAAUAAAAUGUUCCACGUGUGGGAUUUUGUAUGUACCAUAAGAAUAAGGAUCGGCUAACUACGUGCCAGCAGCAGCGGUAAUACGGAGUAACUGAGCGUUAUCCGGAUUUAUUGGGUUUACAGGGAGCGUAGGUGGAUUGUGAAGUCAGUUGUGAAAGUUUGCGGCUCAACCGUAAAAUUGCAGUUGAAACUGGCAGUCGUGAGUACAGGAGAGGUGAGCGGAAUUCGUGGUGUAGCGGUGAAAUGCUUAGAUAUCACGAAGAACUCCGAUGGCGAAGGCAGUUCACUGGACUGCAACUGACACUGAGGCUCGAAAGUGUGGGUAUCAAACAGGAUUAGAUACCCUUGUAGUC